Molecule: ribosomal RNA, 1489 nt
Filed under: metagenome
Description: bacterial SSU rRNA
Rfam family: Bacterial small subunit ribosomal RNA
Source: RNAcentral
AGAGUUUGAUCCUGGCUCAGGAUGAACGCUAGCUACAGGCUUAACACAUGCAAGUCGAGGGGAAACGAUAUUGGAAGCUUGCUUCCGAUAGGCGUCGACCGGCGCACGGGUGAGUAACGCGUAUCCAACCUGCCCACCACUUGGGGAUAACCUUGCGAAAGUAAGACUAAUACCCAAUGACGUCUCUAGAAGACAUCUGAAGGAGAUUAAAGAUUUAUCGGUGAUGGAUGGGGAUGCGUCUGAUUAGCUUGUUGGCGGGGUAACGGCCCACCAAGGCAACGAUCAGUAGGGGUUCUGAGAGGAAGGUCCCCCACAUUGGAACUGAGACACGGUCCAAACUCCUACGGGAGGCAGCAGUGAGGAAUAUUGGUCAAUGGGCGAGAGCCUGAACCAGCCAAGUAGCGUGCAGGAAGACGGCCCUAUGGGUUGUAAACUGCUUUUAUAAGGGAAUAAAGUUAGUCUCGUGAGACUUUUUGCAUGUACCUUAUGAAUAAGGACCGGCUAAUUCCGUGCCAGCAGCCGCGGUAAUACGGAAGGUCCGGGCGUUAUCCGGAUUUAUUGGGUUUAAAGGGAGCGUAGGCCGGAGAUUAAGCGUGUUGUGAAAUGUAGACGCUCAACGUCUGCACUGCAGCGCGAACUGGUUUCCUUGAGUACGCACAAAGUGGGCGGAAUUCGUGGUGUAGCGGUGAAAUGCUUAGAUAUCACGAAGAACUCCGAUUGCGAAGGCAGCUCACUGGAGCGCAACUGACGCUGAAGCUCGAAAGUGCGGGUAUCUAACAGGAUUAGAUACCCUGGUAGUCCACGCCGUAAACGAUGAGCACUAGGUGUCGGGGCCGCAAGGUUUCGGUGCCGCAGUUAACGCAUUAAGUGCUCCGCCUGGGGAGUACGCACGCAAGUGUGAAACUCAAAGGAAUUGACGGGGACCCGCACAAGCAGCGGAGCAUGUGGUUUAAUUCGAAGUAACGCGAAGAACCUUACCAGGGCUUGACAUCCCUCUGACCGGACUUUAACAGGUCUUUCUCUACGGAGCAGAGGUGACAGGUGGUGCAUGGUUGUCGUCAGCUCGUGUCGUGAGAUGUUGGGGUAAGUCCCGCAACGAGCGCAACCCUUGUCAUUAGUUGCCAUCAUUAAGUUGGGCACUCUAGUGAGACUGCCGGGGACAACUCGGAGGAAGGUGGGGAUGACGUCAAAUCAUCAUGCCCCUUAUGUUCUGGGCUACACACGUGCUACAAUGGCCGGUACAGAAAGCAGCGAAGUCGUGAGGCGGAGCAAAUCUCCAAAACCGGUCCCAGUUCGGAUUGCAGGCUGCAACUCGCCUGCAUGAAGUUGGAGUUGCUAGUAAUCGCAGAUCAGAAUACUGCGGUGAAUGCGUUCCCGGGUCUUGUACACACCGCCCGUCACACCAUGGAAGUUGGGGGCGCCCGAAGUCGGUUAGCAAAUAGACUGCCUAAGGCGAAACCAAUGACUGGGGUGAAGUCGUAACAAGGUA